Molecule: long non-coding RNA, 1016 nt
Organism: Ostrea edulis (European flat oyster)
Lineage: Eukaryota; Metazoa; Mollusca; Bivalvia; Ostreida; Ostreidae
Exons: 4
Source: RefSeq, a predicted model, not a curated record
GUAUCUUUUCGAUCUGUAAAUACAAACACUUAUCUCUUGUUGCGUUUCGAUAUACAAAUCGAUUUUUUUUUUUUUUUAAUAUUUUCUUUAAAUGUGAUAUUUUGUUUUGGUUGUCGUGAGGUAACUAUCUCCUACAUUUUAUUUCCCUCUUAUCUGUAGUAAAGAACUUCCUGUUACUCCGUGUUAAAACUAACAAAAUGGCGCCAGUUAGGAUGAAUUCAUGGAAAAUAUGCUUCAUCAAUCUUAUAAUUUCAGUGAGCUACGCCACCGCUACGUUAUGCGACAGUUAUUUGUACAACAUGGAAUCCUGCUACUCGAACCAAGUCUGCUGUUAUUCCGAAAAUUACUCCUACUGUUGUGACGGAUUGACUUACGGAACCAUUGUCGGAAUAGUGAUCGGAUGUCUGGCGGGAAUCGCCAUAUUUAUCGCUUUGAUUGUUGUAUGCUGAAACGUAAUGAACAAAAACCGCGGAAUGACAGGACGAGUUGUCCACCCUGGAGAUUCGGCAGGGGGCGUGACAGUUGUCAACUCACAGCAGCAUGGCUACGCAAAUGGGUCGUAUGGCGCAAACCCUGGGUAUGGAUAUGGGGGACAGCCCCUGAAUCCCGCCUACCCACCAACCGGACCCUCACAGUACCCUCCUCCUGGUGGGGUUCUGGCACCGCCCCAGUACACAGAACCUGGACCACCGCCAAAAUACUGAGCAAAGACAUGAAAACUGACACUACAAUAACCCAGAGAAAUAUACAACCAUUCUGUUCAUUGUUUAUAUAGAUCAACGAAUUGUUUAAUUACAAUCAACGUCCUCGAGAAACAACACCAGCAUAAAGAGUAUAGAUAGAGACAAUACAUACAAUACAACGUGCAAAAUCAAACCAAAUAUAUAUCAUAUCAAUGACAAGUUUUUUUUCGAAAAAAAAUUCAAACAGAAUCUUUAAAUUACGCAUUUCUCUUCAACAUUGACUUUUUAAGCUUUUGCUGUCAACAACAGAAUGAAAUAAACAAUGUCUUGAUA